This 923-nucleotide long non-coding RNA is filed under the name Physcomitrium patens. RNAcentral describes it as "long non-coding RNA (PPAT_LNC004074)". The record is from RNAcentral. Lineage: Eukaryota; Viridiplantae; Streptophyta; Bryopsida; Funariales; Funariaceae.
GACCUCGCGAGCAACAUCCCGCGGUGUAACACAGGAAAUCUCGACAGGGGUGAAUGAUUAUUGGGCUUGAGGUGAUCACAUUUCAAAGCAUCUUUUCAUACUUACACAAUUAGAAAAUCCAAUCCUCAUCUUACAUGGAUUGCAUUGUACAAAAGUAAAGUAAAGAAAAAGUGUAUAUAUAUGCGUAUAUAUAUAUAUAUAUAUACAUAGCUCAACACGGUUCGGUGAUUGUUGAGACGAGUCUUGAGACAGAACUCAACUUCUUUAUUUACAGCGGAUUGUCUUGCCGCGAGAGAUGCCAAGUGAGGAGGACGGUGAAACCAGGGGCAUGUGGCCUUGGAUUCAGCGAGACCCAUCCAGCGCCCCCUGCAAUCUGAGUCAAAAUGACGCCGUCGCCUAGUGGGUCCGGCCAUGGCACGGCCAGCAAUCGAGAAAGCUCAGUCAGACUCUGGGCUGGCAAGGACACCUCCCUGUCUCUGAUCGGACUCCCACUCUCCGUCCGUGAGAUCGAAAAAUCCGCACCCCAAGUGCGAGUUCCUGCAGAAAAGACUGCGUUUGCAACAAAAUGGUUCUUCAGAAUUGGGUUUCGGCCUGUGUCGGCGUUGGACGAUGGAGCAACGGAAGGUCGCAGUCGGCUUUGAAUCCCAGGUGGGUGGGAUCGCAAGGCAUUCAAUGCAAUCACAAAGCAGUUCCAAGCUGGUUGCAAUUACAUUCUCCACAAACGAGGUACCACGUUCUCUAGAUGUAAAUCUUUCCACAUCUGACACGGCAUUUUGCAGCGCGAUGAUCGCAGCCACAGCGUGAACUUCCAGUACCUCAUUAAAAAGCUGAACCGAAUCACAAAUUUCUGCUGCAUAACUCUCGUCGGUAGCGUCGUUAAAUCUAACAACCCAUCCCGGCGAGCGAAGAGUUCCAGUUUGUGA